Molecule: ribosomal RNA, 849 nt
Filed under: Gammarus lacustris
Lineage: Eukaryota; Metazoa; Arthropoda; Malacostraca; Amphipoda; Gammaridae
Description: partial 16S ribosomal RNA
Rfam family: Bacterial large subunit ribosomal RNA (bases 562-849)
Source: RNAcentral
AAAAGGAUAAGAAACUUUUAUAGGUGUACCUUUUGUAUCAGGGGAAGUUAAAAGUUAAAUUACCGGUGGAUCGAUUUCAGCAGAGCCUUGAUAAAAAAAGUUGUAGUUGAAUUUAUAGGCUCGAUUAUUUAAGAGGUAAAAAAUGUACGGUGCUUAUGGUAUCUAUUUGUUUUUGCGUUCAAGGGGUAAGCUCUUAUAUGUUUAGUCAAAUAAAAAUUUAAAGGGACUAGGCUUUAAAUUAGCUAAGUUGUUAAAUUGUUUUAAAUAACUAAAUUAAAGAAUGAAAUCUAAGGUUUAAAGACUUAGCCUGUAAGUGUGGAUAGGUUUAAACAAUGAAUUUAUUGAAUAUAGGUUGAAGCGUGUAAAUAACUCGUAAGAGGUUAGAAUGUUUAGCAAAAACAUUUUCUUUGGGGGCGUAAAAGAUAAGGCCUGCCCGGUGAUUUUUAACGGCUGCAGUAUUUUGACUGUGCUAAGGUAGCAUAAUCAUUUGUUGCUUAAUUGGUAACUAGUAUGAAGGGUUAAACUAGCUUGUUUGGUUUGUUGCGUUUGUUAGUAUAUUAAAGUCAAGGUAAGAAUUCUUUGAUUUGCUAGGGGACGAUAAGACCCUAGAAGCUUAACAAUAAGGAUGUUCGUUAGUUAUGGAAAUUAAAUUGUUUUACUGGGGCGGUAAAGGUAGAUAAACUAUUAGAGUAUUGAUAGAUCCUUAAAAUAGAGAUAAAGCGGGUAAGUUACUCUAGGGAUAACAGUGCAAUAUUUUUGAAGAGAUCUUAUCGAUAAAUAUGUUUGCAACCUCGAUGUUGAAUUAAAAUAUCUACGUGAGGCAGAAAGUACGGAGAGGUUUGUUCAACC